AUUGAACGCUGGCGGCAGGCCUAACACAUGCAAGUCGAACGGUAACAGGAAGAAGCUUGCUUCUUUGCUGACGAGUGGCGGACGGGUGUGUAAUGUCUGGGAAACUGCCUGAUGGAGGGGGAUAACUACUGGAAACGGUAGCUAAUACCGCAUAACGUCGCAAGACCAAAGAGGGGGACCUUCGGGCCUCUUGCCAUCGGAUGUGCCCAGAUGGGAUUAGCGAGUAGGUGGGGUAACGGCUCACCUAGGCGACGAUCCCUAGCUGGUCUGAGAGGGUGACCGGCCACACUGGAACUGAGACACGGUCCAGACUCCUACGGGAGGCAGCAGUGGGGAAUAUUGCACAAUGGGCGCAAGCCUGAUGCAGCCAUGCCGCGUGUAUGAAGAAGGCCUUCGGGUUGUAAAGUACUUUCAGCGGGGAGGAAGGAAGUAAAGUUAAUACCUGUGCUCAUUGACGUUACCCGCAGAAGAAGCACCGGCUAACUCCGUG
Molecule: ribosomal RNA, 490 nt
Filed under: uncultured bacterium
Lineage: Bacteria
Description: partial 16S ribosomal RNA
Rfam family: Bacterial small subunit ribosomal RNA
Source: RNAcentral